GUUUUUUUAGUCGUACGUUAUGUACAGUAGACAUUCCAUUACAUUCAAGAGUGUGUAAAAGUACUCGAGUCACCAGGCCAGCAAAGCGGCAACUCAGAGUCAUAAAGUGCACAGGUGUGUGGAUUUGCGGCUUGGUAACGUGCACAUGUGUCUCCACCAGCACAGAUAUCAAGCCGACUUUGAAGUUUCACUAAUGAUCCUUCCGCAGGUUCACCUACGGAAA
Molecule: unclassified non-coding RNA, 223 nt
Filed under: uncultured fungus
Lineage: Eukaryota; Fungi
Description: sequence contains ITS1
Source: RNAcentral